GUGGGGAAUCUUGCGCAAUGGGCGAAAGCCUGACGCAGCCAUGCCGCGUGAAUGAUGAAGGUCUUAGGAUUGUAAAAUUCUUUCACCGGGGACGAUAAUGACGGUACCCGGAGAAGAAGCUCCGGCUAACUUCGUGCCAGCAGCCGAGGUAAUACGAAGGGGGCUAGCGUUGCUCGGAAUUACUGGGCGUAAAGGGCGCGUAGGCGGACAGCUUAGUCAGAGGUGAAAGCCCAGGGCUCAACCUUGGAAUUGCCUUUGAUACUGGCUGUCUUGAGUUUGGGAGAGGUGAGUGGAACUCCGAGUGUAGAGGUGAAAUUCGUAGAUAUUCGGAAGAACACCAGUGGCGAAGGCGACUCACUGGCCCAAUACUGACGCUGAGGCGCGAAAGCGUGGGGAGCAAACAGGAUUAGAUACCCGUGUAGUCC
RNAcentral lists this ribosomal RNA (425 nucleotides) under uncultured bacterium. Its description in RNAcentral is "partial 16S ribosomal RNA". It matches the Rfam family "Bacterial small subunit ribosomal RNA", at positions 354 to 796 of the family's 1533-position model. The record is from RNAcentral.